This 477-nucleotide ribosomal RNA is filed under the name uncultured organism. RNAcentral describes it as "partial 16S ribosomal RNA". It matches the Rfam family "Bacterial small subunit ribosomal RNA", at positions 331 to 799 of the family's 1533-position model. The record is from RNAcentral.
GUACACUCCUGCGGGAGGCAGCAGUGGGGAAUAUUGCACAAUGGGCGCAAGCCUGAUGCAGCCAUGCCGCGUGUAUGAAGAAGGCCUUCGGGUUGUAAAGUACUUUCAGCGGGGAGGAAGGCGAUAAGGUUAAUAACCUUGUCGAUUGACGUUACCCGCAGAAGAAGCACCGGCUAACUCCGUGCCAGCAGCCGCGGUAAUACGGAGGGUGCAAGCGUUAAUCGGAAUUACUGGGCGUAAAGCGCACGCAGGCGGUCUGUCAAGUCGGAUGUGAAAUCCCCAGGCUCAACCUGGGAACUGCAUUCGAAACUGGCAGGCUAGAGUCUUGUAGAGGGGGGUAGAAUUCCAGGUGUAGUGGUGAAAUGCGUAGAGAUCUGGAGGAAUACCGGUGGCGAAGGCGGCCCCCUGGACAAAGACUGACGCUCAGGUGCGAAAGCGUGGGGAGCAAACAGGAUUAGAUACCCGAGUAGUCCCAUG